UCACCUGGGGACCUGGUUAAAAUGCAGAUCCUCACUCUCGGCUGGGGCUGAGAUUCUGCAUUUCUAACAAGUUCCAAGGUGCUGC
Molecule: microRNA precursor, 85 nt
Filed under: Pteropus vampyrus (large flying fox)
Lineage: Eukaryota; Metazoa; Chordata; Mammalia; Chiroptera; Pteropodidae
Description: miRNA (ENSPVAG00000027599.1)
Source: RNAcentral